GCCUUCGUGGUGUAGUGGUCAGCACACUGAGCCGGUAUUUCAAAAGUCCGUAGUUCGAUCCCCGGCGAAGGCA
Stegodyphus mimosarum is the source of this 73-nucleotide non-coding RNA. NCBI's taxonomy places the organism in Eukaryota, Metazoa, Arthropoda, Arachnida, Araneae, Eresidae. The record is from Rfam.